RNAcentral lists this ribosomal RNA (1004 nucleotides) under Pireneitega luctuosa. RNAcentral describes it as "SSU rRNA". It matches the Rfam family "Eukaryotic small subunit ribosomal RNA", at positions 42 to 1046 of the family's 1831-position model. Lineage: Eukaryota; Metazoa; Arthropoda; Arachnida; Araneae; Agelenidae. The record is from RNAcentral.
GAUUAGCCAUGCAUGUCUAAGUACAUGCCGUAUUAAGGCGAAACCGCGAAUGGCUCAUUAAAUCAGUCAUGGUUCCUUGGAUCGUACCUUACUACUUGGAUAACUGUGGCAAUUCUAGAGCUAAUACAUGCAGCAGAGCUCCGACCUUCGGGGACGAGCGCUUUUAUUAGACCAAAACCAAUCGGACCUCGUGUCCGUCCUUUGUGGUGACUCUGUAUAACUUUGGGCUGAUCGCACGGGCCUGUCCCGGCGACGUAUCUUUCAAGUGUCUGCCUUAUCAACUUUCGAUGGUAGGUUACGCGCCUACCAUGGUCGUAACGGGUAACGGGGAAUCAGGGUUCGAUUCCGGAGAGGGAGCCUGAGAAACGGCUACCACAUCCAAGGAAGGCAGCAGGCGCGCAAAUUACCCACUCCCAGAACGGGGAGGUAGUGACGAAAAAUAACAAUACGGGACUCUUUUGAGACCCCGUAAUUGGAAUGAGUACACUCUAAAUCCUUUAACGAGGAUCCAUUGGAGGGUAAGUCUGGUGCCAGCAACCGCGGUAAUUCCAGCUCCAAUAGCGUAUAUUAAAGUUGUUGCGGUUAAAAAGCUCGUAGUUGGAUCUCAGUUCCAGACGGGUGGUCCGCCUACCGGUGGUUACUGCCUGUUCUGAACAGUCAGCCGGUUUCUCUUGAUGAUCUUCACCGGUUGUCUUGGGUGACCGGCAAGUUUACUUUGAAAAAAUUAGAGUGCUCAAAGCAGGCGUGACGCCUGAAUAAUGGUGCAUGGAAUAAUGGAAUAGGACCUCGGUUCUAUUUUGUUGGUUUUCGGAACACGAGGUAAUGAUUAAGAGGGACAGACGGGGGCAUUCGUAUUGCGACGCUAGAGGUGAAAUUCUUGGACCGUCGCAAGACGAACUACUGCGAAAGCAUUUGCCAAGAAUGUUUCCAUUAAUCAAGAACGAAAGUUAGAGGUUCGAAGGCGAUCAGAUACCGCCCUAGUUCUAACCAUAAACGAUGCCAGC